AUUGAACGCUGGCGGCAGGCCUAACACAUGCAAGUCGAGCGGAUGAAGGGAGCUUGCUCCUGGAUUCAGCGGCGGACGGGUGAGUAAUGCCUAGGAAUCUGCCUGGUAGUGGGGGAUAACGUCCGGAAACGGGCGCUAAUACCGCAUACGUCCUGAGGGAGAAAGUGGGGGAUCUUCGGACCUCACGCUAUCAGAUGAGCCUAGGUCGGAUUAGCUAGUUGGUGGGGUAAAGGCCUACCAAGGCGACGAUCCGUAACUGGUCUGAGAGGAUGAUCAGUCACACUGGAGCUGAGACACGGUCCAGACUCCUACGGGAGGCAGCAGUGGGGAAUAUUGGACAAUGGGCGAAAGCCUGAUCCAGCCAUGCCGCGUGUGUGAAGAAGGUCUUCGGAUUGUAAAGCACUUUAAGUUGGGAGGAAGGGCAGUAAGUUAAUACCUUGCUGUUUUGACGUUACCAACAGAAUAAGCCCCGGCUAACUUCGUG
RNAcentral lists this ribosomal RNA (484 nucleotides) under uncultured bacterium. Its description in RNAcentral is "partial 16S ribosomal RNA". It matches the Rfam family "Bacterial small subunit ribosomal RNA", at positions 30 to 507 of the family's 1533-position model. The record is from RNAcentral.